CCUUAGUAACGGCGAGUGAAGCGGCAAAAGCUCAAAUUUGAAAUCUGGUACCUCUGGUGCCCGAGUUGUAAUUUGUAGAAGGUAAUCUUGGGAGUGGGCCUUGUCUAUGUUCCUUGGAACAGGACGUCGAAGAGGGUGAGAAUCCCGUAAGGCGAGGAGACCACAUUCUUUGUAAGAAGCGUUCGAAGAGUCGAGUUGUUUGGGAAUGCAGCUCUAAGUGGGUGGUAAAUUCCAUCUAAAGCUAAAUAUUGGCGAGAGACCGAUAGCGAACAAGUACAGUGAUGGAAAGAUGAAAAGCACUUUGAAAAGAGAGUGAAACAGUACGUGAAAUUGUUGAAAGGGAAGGGCUUUAGAUCAGACUUGGUAUUUAGCUAUCAUUGCUCCUUGUGGGCGGUGCUCUAGCUUUUUACUGGGCCAGCAUCGGUUUAGGCGGUAGGAUAAUGGUGAAGGAACGUAGCUCUGCUUCGGUGGAGUGUUAUAGCCUGUUACUGAUACUACCUGCUUAGACCGAGGACUGCGUCUUUUGACUAGGAUGUUGGCGUAAUGAUCUAAAGCCACCCGUCUUGAAACACGGACCAAGGAGUCUAACGUCUAUGCGAGUGUUUGGGUGUAAAACCCGUAACGCGUAAUGAAAGUGAACGUAGGUGAGAACCUCUUUAGAGGUGCAUCAUCGACCGAUCCUGAUGUCUUCGGAUGGAUUUGAGUAAGAGCAUAGCUGUUAGGAC
RNAcentral lists this ribosomal RNA (725 nucleotides) under Citeromyces matritensis. RNAcentral describes it as "partial large subunit ribosomal RNA". It matches the Rfam family "Eukaryotic large subunit ribosomal RNA", at positions 78 to 815 of the family's 3401-position model. Lineage: Eukaryota; Fungi; Ascomycota; Pichiomycetes; Pichiales; Pichiaceae. The record is from RNAcentral.